This is a long non-coding RNA of Xenia sp. Carnegie-2017, 473 nucleotides long. RefSeq lists it as uncharacterized. The transcript is spliced from 5 exons. Lineage: Eukaryota; Metazoa; Cnidaria; Anthozoa; Malacalcyonacea; Xeniidae. The record is from RefSeq and is a predicted model, not a curated record.
AAAAGACUCACAAGAAAAACUGUUUUGUUCAGAGUAAGAUUAAUAUAAAAAUUUUUGAUGCUAUGAGAUGGUCUCAUCAAUGUGCAACAAUUGAACUGGAUUUCCAACUUCCUGAGAGAUUCAACCUCACGCUAGGAUUUUAUGGCUUUCUCCCCAUCAAGUUGUAGUAAUUCCUGUCAGUAGUAAAUAUGAUGAUUAUGCCGAACCGGUAAAUUUAAUUUGAUUCAAAAGAAGUUCCAUGCAGCUGGUUAUCGUGUUGAUACAGACUUGGAUCACGGAUCAACACUAAAUAAGAAAGUUCGCAAUGCACAACUUUCACAGUACAACUUCAUUCUUGUUGUUGGUGAAAAGAGACGGUCUCAGACACGGUCAACGUCAGAACACGUGACAACAAAGUACUCGGUGAAAAAUCGGUCAUGGCCGUGAUCGAACGCUUGCGAGAUUUAGUCAGCUCACGAAGUCUGACAAGCGAA